RNAcentral lists this small nuclear RNA (164 nucleotides) under Dasypus novemcinctus (nine-banded armadillo). RNAcentral's name for it is "U1 spliceosomal RNA (ENSDNOG00000039741.1)". It matches the Rfam family "U1 spliceosomal RNA". Rfam says of the family: U1 is a small nuclear RNA (snRNA) component of the spliceosome (involved in pre-mRNA splicing). Its 5' end forms complementary base pairs with the 5' splice junction, thus defining the 5' donor site of an intron. The record is from RNAcentral. Lineage: Eukaryota; Metazoa; Chordata; Mammalia; Cingulata; Dasypodidae.
AAAUGUACCUGGCAGGGGAGACACCAUGAUCCCGGUGGUGGUUUUCCAGGGCGAGAUUGAUCUAUUACACUCUGGAUGUGCUGACCCCUGCAAUUUCCCCAAAUGCAGGAAACAUAACUGCAUACUUUGUAGUAGUUGGGGACUGCAUUCACAGUGUUCCCUGG